Molecule: non-coding RNA, 118 nt
Organism: Caenorhabditis elegans
Lineage: Eukaryota; Metazoa; Nematoda; Chromadorea; Rhabditida; Rhabditidae
Source: Ensembl
ACACUCAUUUAUUACAUUUGACAGAAUCGGAACAAAAUCAUUGAGUGUGCGCGAUUUGAACGGAGAUAACAUCGAUUUCAACAAUCGGGAUUCGGUGAAAAAGUAACAGUUUUUCUUU